UCCAAAAAGUCCACUGAAAAAAUCUCAC
RNAcentral lists this small RNA (28 nucleotides) under Bombyx mori (domestic silkworm). RNAcentral describes it as "ovarian small RNA-26427". Lineage: Eukaryota; Metazoa; Arthropoda; Insecta; Lepidoptera; Bombycidae. The record is from RNAcentral.